GUACGGGGAAGGAUGAGAAGCUUCGACUAAGGUUCGAUUCGAGCGCAGCGAGAAAGCGUUGCCGCAGGCAACGACCCGAAGGGCGAAGCGCGCAGCGCUGAGUAAUCCUUCCCCCACCACCA
RNAcentral lists this small RNA (122 nucleotides) under Salmonella enterica. RNAcentral describes it as "partial RtT sRNA". It matches the Rfam family "RtT RNA". From Rfam's summary of the family: This family represents a bacterial cis-regulatory element known as RtT RNA. The exact function of RtT is unknown although it is thought that it may be involved in changing the cellular response in relation to amino acid starvation. Lineage: Bacteria; Pseudomonadati; Pseudomonadota; Gammaproteobacteria; Enterobacterales; Enterobacteriaceae. The record is from RNAcentral.